GACGAACGCUGGCGGCGUGCUUAACACAUGCAAGUCGAACGCUGAAGCUCAGCUUUUGUUGGGUGGAUGAGUGGCGAACGGGUGAGUAACACGUGAGUAACCUGCCUCCUUCUUUGGGAUAACGCCCGGAAACGGGUGCUAAUACUGGAUAUUCACUGGUCUUCGCAUGGGGGUUGGUGGAAAGGGUUUUUCUGGUGGGGGAUGGGCUCGCGGCCUAUCAGCUUGUUGGUGGGGUGAUGGCCUACCAAGGCUUUGACGGGUAGCCGGCCUGAGAGGGUGACCGGUCACAUUGGGACUGAGAUACGGCCCAGACUCCUACGGGAGGCAGCAGUGGGGAAUAUUGCACAAUGGGCGCAAGCCUGAUGCAGCGACGCCGCGUGAGGGAUUGAGGCCUUCGGGUUGUGAACCUCUUUCGCUCAUGGUCAAGCCGCAACAAUGGUUGUGGUGAGGGUAGUGGGUAAAGAAGCGCCGGCUAACUACGUG
This 483-nucleotide ribosomal RNA is filed under the name uncultured bacterium. Its description in RNAcentral is "partial 16S ribosomal RNA". It matches the Rfam family "Bacterial small subunit ribosomal RNA", at positions 28 to 507 of the family's 1533-position model. The record is from RNAcentral.